Molecule: ribosomal RNA, 274 nt
Filed under: uncultured bacterium
Lineage: Bacteria
Description: partial 16S ribosomal RNA
Rfam family: Bacterial small subunit ribosomal RNA
Source: RNAcentral
AUACGGAGGGUGCAAGCGUUGUUCGGAAUUACUGGGCGUAAAGGGCGCGUAGGCGGCGAUGUAAGUCAAAUGUGAAAGUCCUCGGCUUAACCGGGGAAGUGCAUCUGAAACUGCAUUGCUUGAGUAUGGGAGAGGAAAGUGGAAUUCCCGGUGUAGAGGUGAAAUUCGUAGAGAUCGGGAGGAAUACCGGUGGCGAAGGCGACUUUCUGGACCAAUACUGACGCUGAGGCGCGAAAGCGUGGGGAGCAAACAGGAUUAGAAACCCUAGUAGUCC